UACAUUUGCACAUGUAAGAGUGGCUUCUUGCCUCUCCAGUGGAUGCAGACACAGGGAAAGCAUCUCUGAGGGCACUUAACUACAGGGGACCACAGGACUGAGGCUUCGCUUGAAUUAGAUCACAUGGCUGGCUGUAUAUGGGAGAGUCCUCUGUUGCUUCCUUCCCUGGAGAGCAAUACUACCUCCUGGGCACCACCCUAACCUCCAAAAUCAGGGUUCAGCUAAGUUAGUAAUAGGUGGCCACCAUGACUGCCCUAGGCAACAACAGCUGAACUCUUCCUGGGUCACCUUUGUCUUUACUGCCCCCUUUUCCUUGAUUUUUUUCUUUUCUCACCCUGGCUUAAAUCACCUUCAUUUUUUUCCAGUCAUCCUUAGAGCGGUCACCCCGUGUGCAGGUGCCUUACUUUGUAGGACAGGAUGUGGCUGUCAGUUUGUAUCUCUCUCUCUCUCUCUCUCUCUCUCUCUCUCUCUCUCUCUCUCUGUGUGUGUGUGUGUGUGUGUGUGUGUGUGUGUGUGUGUGUGUGUGUGUGUGUGUGUGUACAGCAGUAAAUGGAGGAUGUAUGUAAGGAGAGAAAGAAAUGCCCUAAUAGUUCCUCUAGAAAUCAUGUGUCCUAAGAAUGGCAAGGAUGGAAAGAAAGGUGAAGACUGCUGUCUGGCUUCUCCUACCUAGGUACAGUAGACUGUACCUCACAGCCCCACUGAUCACUGGCUUCUCUUGGCAUCACAGAUGAAACUUAGCUUAAAUGGGUCAUUUCUACCUGUUUUUCUGUGCUCCAGCUGGGUUGUGGGCUCCCCAUGUAGAGCUGAGUUUCUCCACUCCACGGAGUGGCAUCAUGGCUCAAACUGUCAUUCUGAGCUAAAACCUGGUAGAUGCAGUAAAAACCACUUCGAGAAAGAUGGCUUGUGUUAGGCUGAAGCUGAUAGAAUCUUCACCUGCUGCAGCCCUCUGUGGGCCACCCUAGUGUUUGUGAUCCAUGCUUGAAGUAGCUGUGUGCACACACUCCCAGUGCCAGCAAGGUAAUUGUGUGCUUUCUUUAAAGAAGUGUAUGUUUUCUGAAAGCAAAAGAAAAAAGGAAGGCCCACCAUUCAGAGACCACUGUGAGCAUUUUCAUGUAGAUCCCGCUCUCCCUAACUUUUUUGUUCCAGUGCUGGGAAUUGAGUUGUGAGGUUCAGGAGUGCUAAGCAAGUGCUCUACCACUGGUGUGCAUCCUUAGUCCUUGUUUGCUCUGUAAACCAAACUGGGAACACACACAAUAUUCACCCUUUACAUCCAGCUUGUUCACUUGACAUUUCCUCUUGAGCAUUUCUCCAUGCCACGAGUAGUUCUUCAAAAGCAUGUUUUUGAUAAUUGUAAAGUCAAAUGGUUGUAAAUUUAUAAGUUAGCCAAUUGUUUCCCUGUUGUAAAACAUUCAGGUGGUCUUUGCGUUUUCUUUGUGUUUUGUUUUUUGUUAUUUAAAUAAUGCUGUGGUGAGUAUACUUAUAAGCCUUUGAUUUUUAUUCUGAUUUUACCCCUUCCUCACAUACCUGAAGUGGUAUUUUUGGGUAAAAUAAUUUGUUCAUUUCACAGCUUUUCCUCUUCCUUGGUCUGAUGUUUAGAUGCUUUGAGUUCCAGUUACAAACCUACCUUCCUUGUGUCCUACAGAUUCUGAACAUACCAGUUCUUACCAAGCUGUGUGUUCCCAAGAAAGUAUGACUAGGACUGCUCUUUUUAGUGCUAAAAUGUCAUUACUGCAGAUUCCUUUGUGACAGAUCUUUCCAGUUUCUUCAUUUUCAUUGCAACAAUCUACUCCUGCAUGUUAUACUUCCUUUUCAUCCUCGCUGCUAAGGCUUCCCAGUGCUUGGUGAUGUUUUCAGAAUCUUGUACUUUGUGUCCACGAUGGUACUGAAUCUGCUUCUACACAGUCAGCAGAGAUAAAGUGUUGAACUGACCUUGCCACAUGCCUAAUGGAUAAUUCAUAAUUAAGUUUAUAGACUCAAAUGCAUUUGGGCCAUUUGGGAAUCAGUCGCAAAGCAGAAUAACAAAGCUCUUCUUGGAAAAGAAACCACACAGAUGAUUUGGGCUUACCAGAAGUACACUUGUGAAUGUCCCUGCUCCACACUUCAGGUCUUGAUUAGGACAGCACAGUGGCCAGGCUUUGUUAUUGCUAAGCAUGGCUGUCCCAGCUGACGCUAUGUAAACCUUGUGUGCUGCAGUGCUGCAGCAGGUAAACUACAGUGUCCACCCAAAUUGGAUAAGAUCUUCGUCUCUGUGGGAUGGGGCCUGCAGGUUUAAUGUUGAAACAUGCAGCAGAGAUUUUCUGGGCACCAUACUUGGUGUUACUUGACUCUGUCAGAGCUUAGGGCUGGAGAUGUGCAGAAAUCAGUUUUCUGCCCUUCUCUGCCUCAAGGCUUCUCCCCACUGUUCCAUAGACCCAGGGUGUUCAUAGCUGAGACUUGGGAGGCCAUAGCAACUAUUGAGUAUGGCAAAGAUGCUGCCAUACACUUUUUCCACUUGUUUUAAUGCAAAACCCAACAUAAACUGAUGGUGAUGCCAAUGGGUGUAGCGCCUCUUAGGCAGAGUGUAUGAUAAGGGUCCUGACAGAUUUGACAGGGCUAGGACGACUCUCAGAACCUCUGAAGAUAAGUGGCUUCUGGCCUAACACUUGAGGGUUGUAGGUUAGAAUGUGGAACAAUGGCCUUGGAAGGAAGCUCUUUCAAGCACGUUUGCAGCGGUAAGCAAAUGAACUAGCCAAUAUGCAUACCUGAAAAUUCCCUGUAAUUCAUUUCUUCCAUAUGAAGAAUCCAAACUCUACAGAAAUUUUUACAAAUGGCAAAAUUUCCCCUCCUCAUGUAGUCCACCCUAGUUUAAUCAUCUGGGUUAGUGACUGCAAGUGGGUCACUGUGCAGGCGAAAGCCUCCAUUAUGACCAUAGUGUGAUUGAACAUGGCACAAAUCAAAAACUGUUACAGUAUUUAGAGCUGCUGCGGCUAUUCCCUAGCCACGUACAGUAGGAUGAAUCAAUAGUCUAUUGCUGUCAUUCAGGUUGGUGGCAGUCAGUUAGAACAUAUGUAAUAUUCUCUACCUGGUCUGUAGCUGUAACUGUGAUGUACAGGCAAAGGAAAAAUUAAAAAUACUUAUGAAAACAGAUAAUGCAAUGAUACUAGGAUAUACACUUUUGUAUUUUUAUUCUUAUAUAAGGUUAUUUGCUGGCUAUUGUCGGCCUCUAGUUCAGUCUGUAUUAUUUAAAUUCUAAUAUAUGAAUUAUUUGGAUUGAAUUCAUGUUUGGGGCCACGUUGUAUGUAUUGAUGUACAGCCUUGAAUGUGAAUAAUUAUUGUAAACUAUAUUUUACAACUUUUUUCCUGGCUUUAUUAUAUAAAUUUUCUAUUUGGUCAUGGUUUAAUCAUAUAAUUUAAUGAAACAACUUCUUUUUUUUUCAAAUAUCUGUGCUUUAGAUGUAAUUACCGGAUGAUGGAUUUCCCUCGUAUGCUCGGUAGUCUUGUAAUAAAAGCAUGUAGAGUGUACA
This 3503-nucleotide long non-coding RNA is filed under the name Rattus norvegicus (Norway rat). Its description in RNAcentral is "long non-coding RNA NONRATT005243". The record is from RNAcentral. Lineage: Eukaryota; Metazoa; Chordata; Mammalia; Rodentia; Muridae.